AAGUGAGUAAGUCUCUAACCAAACAACAUGCAUUGCACAGAGACUCUAUUAGCAGAAGCACAUCCUCAACUGACCUCACAAGUUUGAAAACUCAGUCUUUCUGUUGUGGUAGAUUGGGGAAACAGUAUUUACAGCUUUCAAAAAAGUUGCACAGCACACUGACUGGACAACAAAAAUAUAUUGCGCUUAAAAAGAUUUUAUUUCUCCCUAAAAAAAAAAAAGAGAAAACAAGAGCAGCUCCACACAGACCAUAAAUCACACCCAAUUCAAAAAUAUGGGUCUGAGUUAAGGUGACUUUUCCCCUCAGAGAAAUUGACCCACUCUCUGAAAAAGCGAGAAAUAAAAUAAACACACUUUUGGACUUGAGAAAGGUUGGCGAAGUGGUGCAGGCUGUUUACACUGGACCAUGUUUACAUAUAAACUUUAGAUGUGGAGUUGAAAGAGAAUAGGGCUACAGAGGAGAGGAAGUCUCAGCAGAGCCUCGGAAAGGAUCACAGACGAGGGGGGAGGAAGGGGUGCAGAGUGAAGGGAGGAGAGAGAAAGUGGCAGAGAAAAUGAGACGGAGUGUGAACGAGAGAGACGCAGAGGAGGGGAGGGCAUGAGAGAGAAAGUUUGUAGAAAAGAGGCAGAUAGGAAAAAAAAAAAAAAGUGAGAAAUCUGAUAUGGCUGAGAGUUUCUGCUGCCUCGCUCUGCAGAUGGAGGUGAAUGUAAAACAGAGUCUAGUGUUGGUAUCUGGGGGUAUCAACAGUCUGGAGUGGGACUCAGCUGUGAGGAAAGUUAAUGCCUGUCUGUCUGUCUGUCUGCUCAGCUUUUCCCCUGCUCUAACAUGCUGUACUUUCCAAAAUGCUCUUGCUGCAUUCUAACACUACAUCUUUUAUCACCAGGCCGGCGUCGGGCACACUGGGUAGAUUCAGAGUGGAGCUGUAUACGUACGCAGGGCUGCUGAUGCUUUUGCUUUAGCACAUUUAUAUACCCUGUUGGUUUUCAGCUGCCUUCUGUGGGGUUCGCAAACAAUUUUGGAUUUGUGAGCUUGGGUAAAAAUAUUAUACACAACGCAUAUCUUCAAUUUAAUGAACCAACAGGAAGGGGGUAAGAAAAAACGUUUUAAAGCUCAGGUUCUCAUCUGACUCUGUGAAGGAAGAAGUGCUGCUCCUAAUAGAUUAGAAACCUAAUCUCAGAACCUUUUCUGCUUUGACACAAAAUCCUCUCCUUUUUAAUUAUUGCAUUCAGAAAGACUGAGAAUUUCAGAAAUACAGAAAAUAUACACAAUUAUCUGAUCAUUAAUCAAACUAUCGGAACACCAGGUGUAGCAGCCAAGUUUAAGCACUUGGAGCUCCCCCUACUGGCCAGAUUGAAAUGUUUUGCAAGUUUAGGAACUUCAAUUGAUACCUUUCUUCCUGCUGUGCCAGAAGCAUAUUUAUAUCACUUAUUAUUUGCACAGAAUGAGACACAAUUUACAAAAUUUCACAUAAUUCAUGUUCACUUCCUGAACAUUUGUUCAAAACAGAAAUAUUUUGUUGCAGUCAACAGAAGACAGGAAAGUCACGUACAAUCUGGGUUUCUGAUCAAAUAAGUGAUUUCUCUUUGUCACCAGCAAUAACUUAACGUGAUAAAAAUAAAACAAGACUUGCAAACAUAUUUUUGCUUUGCUUGCACCUUCGUUAUCCUUCAGUAUCAAGUAAUUACAUGUCACCAACGGUGGUAAACAUAGCCGCCUCAUGCAGCUUUCUGUUUGUCACCUGAUAUUUCCGCAUCUUUUUGUUCAUCUUGAGUUUCACAGGACACAUUGCCUUCAGUAAAAAUAGCACUGAAUGCCAAGUCGAAACACAAUUAUGAAGAAAAUUUUGCACUGCCAGAAUGAAUCAAAGUCUCACAGUAGCUCCGUACAGUGGGGGAUGCAGUUACUUGAUCUCCUGCUGAUUUUGUAAGUUUGCUCACUUAGAAAUAAAUGAAGACUCAAUUUUUUUAUUGUCUGUUUAUCCAAAACCAUGAAAAAACGUUUUUUUUUAUGUAACUAAGAUUAAUUAGUAUUAUAUCUGUUACUGCCCAGCCACAAUUCUGGCUCUCAUGUUCGUCAUGUGCCCUUGUAGCACACAAAUUACAAUCAAUCAAUGUAUGUAUUUAUUAUAGAUAGCCUUGACCUUACCCUAAUGAUGUUACUAAAGAACAUCUACCCAAAGAAUCGGUUUCUUCCAUUCUAACAUUCCCACAAGAGAUGCAUCAAGAAGCAGGCUGGUGACUGGAAUAGGCAGCAUGUCAGUUUGAUUGGCCCUGAGUGGUGACAGCAGAGUCAGAAUGAAAAACAAAUCUGAUCAGUGAGCAGACCCUGCCUUUAGCACUACUAGGUCAUGGGUAACAAUAACACUCUUCAAUGUGGAAGCUGAUAAUGGGAAGGAAGACUUCAAAUUAUCUAUAUUUAGUGUCAGUGAGAGAUCAGAUGAGAAAGUCAAGACCUCGAGAACAGGGUAGAGCGCCCUCUAAGGGUCGGGAGACGUUUAAAGUGUAACUAAUCCCCAAACUGAAAAACUGCCUAAAUUGGUUACUUUGGUACCAUCUUUAUGUUUCUGAGCAAAUUUUUACAGUUUGGUGUAAAUUUGUUUAGUUUUGCAUAAAACCGUCUCAGUGCUGGCCUCUUUGGGCUGAACGGGGCCUAACCAGGUGAAUUCUCCUAGAUGUUUGAAAUGGGAUGACUUUACGUCACUCAGCCCGAUUCAGGAAUAAAACCGUCUGAGUCAGACACACAGUCCCACCUGGUGGCGAGUCAGUAAUUAUCACUAACACUUGGCUGCCGCUGAUGCUGCCAAAGGUAACUAAACCAGUUAUUAGGUUGAGGGGAUAAUCACUUUUCACCCAGGGCCACGUAGGUUUCCAAUUUCCUUCUCCUUUAAUAAUAAACACCUUCAUUUAAAAAUACUUGUGUUGUCUUUUACUAAUAGUUAAAUUGCUUUAAUGUUCUGAAACAUUUAAAUGUUUCAGCACACUUAAAUACACCAAUAGUUUCACAAGCUUAGU
Molecule: long non-coding RNA, 3012 nt
Organism: Poecilia latipinna (sailfin molly)
Lineage: Eukaryota; Metazoa; Chordata; Actinopteri; Cyprinodontiformes; Poeciliidae
Exons: 3
Source: RefSeq, a predicted model, not a curated record